GAAGAGUAUACACGGUGCCCUGCGCACACCCGUACAUCGACAAGCGCACGACGCGUUGCAGCGUCGAACGCCUAUCCUGGCGUCUUUUCCACUCCGACAAGGACGCCCAUGGCUUAGCGAGGAGGCCGCCAUUCUUAUCUCAAUACUUCUUCAGCCUGCACGGGGUGAGGUGGAAAAUCAACGUCUAGCGCUCCGUCAUUCCACCAACCCCCUCUCACAACAUCUUCUCAAGCGACCUCAGCGAGAAGAUGCUGCGCGCGGUGGGCGGGCUCGCUGCGGCGGCUGCAGUCGGCGCAGCAGCCUACACCACCUAUCAGCAAGGGAAUGAGCGACUGGUGCAGGAGCAGAUAAGGCUGCUGAUGACGAAGGAGAGAGAAGAGAAAGGAAGGGAAGAGAAACACGGGUGCAGUGGAAAAGAGGCUGCUGGCCCCCUCUGACGCACGCCACCUCUCCAUCUCUCCGCUUUUCUUGCGCACAGGCUUGCCCUUCACCCCCUACCCCCACCCUUCUUUGUGAGACAAGCAAGCAAAGAAGCCAAAACACGGAACGUGGCGCGAGGCCGAUGAUACGUGAAGGAACGUGGGGAAGAAGGGCGUGUUCGUCCAACUUAACCCUCUCUCUCCGUCGCAAGGCCAGAAGGUGGUGGGCGAGGCUGCAUGGACGGGC
Molecule: unclassified non-coding RNA, 666 nt
Filed under: Leishmania donovani
Lineage: Eukaryota; Euglenozoa; Kinetoplastea; Trypanosomatida; Trypanosomatidae
Description: gene:unknown
Source: RNAcentral